Molecule: ribosomal RNA, 512 nt
Filed under: uncultured bacterium
Lineage: Bacteria
Description: bacterial SSU rRNA
Rfam family: Bacterial small subunit ribosomal RNA
Source: RNAcentral
AAUUCGAUUCAGGACGAAGUCCUUCGGGAUGUAAACUGCUUUUAGGGGAAGGGAAUCAUGACCGUACCCAGAAUAAGCCACGGCUAACUCUGUGCCAGCAGCCGCGGUAAUACAGAGGUGGCAAGCGUUGCUCGGAAUCACUGGGCUUAAAGGGCAUGUAGGCGGCCAAGUAAGCGUCUUGUGAAAUCCCCCGGCUUAACCGGGGAACGGCUCGACGAACUGCUUGGCUCGAGGGAGACAGGGGCGACCGGAACUCAGGGUGGAGCGGUGAAAUGCGUAGAUAUCCUGGGGAACGCCGGUGGUGAAAACGGGUCGCUGGGUCUUUCCUGACGCUGAGGUGCGAAAGCUAGGGGAGCGAACGGGAUUAGAUACCCCGGUAGUCCUAGCCGUAAACGAUGCGAACUGGGUUGGGGAGGUUUUACCGCCUUCCCAGCCGGAGCAAAAGCGUUAAGUUCGCCGCCUGGGAAAUACGGCCGCAAGGUUAAAACUCAAAGGAAUUGACGGAAUCACUA